This 553-nucleotide ribosomal RNA is filed under the name uncultured bacterium. RNAcentral's name for it is "partial 16S ribosomal RNA". It matches the Rfam family "Bacterial small subunit ribosomal RNA", at positions 356 to 900 of the family's 1533-position model. The record is from RNAcentral.
AGGGAAUCUUCCACAAUGGACGCAAGUCUGAUGGAGCAACGCCGCGUGAGUGAAGAAGGCUUUCGGGUCGUAAAACUCUGUUAUUGAAGAAGAACGUGUGUGACAGUAACUGGUCAUGCAGUGACGGUAUUCAAUCAGAAAGUCACGGCUAACUACGUGCCAGCAGCCGCGGUAAUACGUAGGUGGCAAGCGUUGUCCGGAUUUAUUGGGCGUAAAGCGAGUGCAGGCGGUCUUUUAAGUCUGAUGUGAAAGCCUUCGGCUUAACCGAAGAAGGGCAUCGGAAACUGGGAGACUUGAGUGCAGAAGAGGAGAGUGGAACUCCAUGUGUAGCGGUGAAAUGCGUAGAUAUAUGGAAGAACACCAGUGGCGAAGGCGGCUCUCUGGUCUGUAACUGACGCUGAGGCUCGAAAGCGUGGGUAGCAAACAGGAUUAGAUACCCUGGUAGUCCGCGCCGUAAACGAUGAAUACUAAGUGUUGGAGGGUUUCCGCCCUUCAGUGCUGCAGCUAACGCAUUAAGUAUUCCGCCUGGGGAGUACGACCGCAAGGUUGAAAC